Molecule: ribosomal RNA, 327 nt
Filed under: uncultured eukaryote
Lineage: Eukaryota
Description: partial 18S ribosomal RNA
Rfam family: Eukaryotic small subunit ribosomal RNA
Source: RNAcentral
CCCUUAGAUGUUCUGGGCCGCACACGCGCUACACUGAAGGAGGCAGCGUGUACUCCUGGAUCGAAGGAUUUGGGUAACCCGCGAAUCUCCUACGUGCUAGGGAUUGAGGUUUGCAAUUAUCCUUCAUGAACGAGGAAUUCUCAGUAAGUGCAAGUCAUAAGCUUGCGCUGACUACGUCCCUGCCCUUUGUACACACCGCCCGUCGCUACUACCGAUUGAAUGAUUUAGUGAGGACUUCGGACUGGGACCGAUGCGGCUUUCGGGCUGCGUCGGUAUUCUGGAAAGAUGUCCAAACUGUAUCAUUUAGAGGAAGUAAAAGUCGUAACA